AGCAGCCAUCAUUUAAAGAAAGCGUAAUAGCUCACUGGUCGAGUCGGCCUGCGCGGAAGAUGUAACGGGGCUAAACUAUGCACCGAAGCUGCGGCAGCGACACUAUGUGUUGUUGGGUAGGGGAGCGUUCUGUAAGCCUGUGAAGGUGUGUCGUGAGGCAUGCUGGAGGUAUCAGAAGUGCGAAUGCUGACAUAAGUAACGAUAAAGCGGGUGAAAAGCCCGCUCGCCGGAAGACCAAGGGUUCCUGUCCAACGUUAAUCGGGGCAGGGUGAGUCGACCCCUAAGGCGAGGCCGAAAGGCGUAGUCGAUGGGAAACGGGUUAAUAUUCCCGUACUUGGUGUUACUGCGAAGGGGGGACGGAGAAGGCUAUGUUGGCCGGGCGACGGUUGUCCCGGUUUAAGCGUGUAGGUGUGUGUUCCAGGUAAAUCCGGUUCACUUUAACACUGAGGCGUGAUGACGAGGCACUACGGUGCUGAAGCAACAAAUGCCCUGCUUCCAGGAAAAGCCUCUAAGCAUCAGGUAACAUCAAAUCGUACCCCAAACCGACACAGGUGGUCAGGUAGAGAAUACCAAGGCGCUUGAGAGAACUCGGGUGAAGGAACUAGGCAAAAUGGUGCCGUAACUUCGGGAGAAGGCACGCUGACACGUAGGUGAAGUGAUUUACUCAUGGAGCUGAAGUCAGUCGAAGAUACCAGCUGGCUGCAACUGUUUAUUAAAAACACAGCACUGUGCAAACACGAAAGUGGACGUAUACGGUGUGACGCCUGCCCGGUGCCGGAAGGUUAAUUGAUGGGGUCAGCGCAAGCGAAGCUCCUGAUCGAAGCCCCGGUAAACGGCGGCCGUAACUAUAACGGUCCUAAGGUAGCGAAAUUCCUUGUCGGGUAAGUUCCGACCUGCACGAAUGGCGUAAUGAUGGCCAGGCUGUCUCCACCCGAGACUCAGUGAAAUUGAACUCGCUGUGAAGAUGCAGUGUACCCGCGGCAAGACGGAAAGACCCCGUGAACCUUUACUAUAGCUUGACACUGAACAUUGAGCCUUGAUGUGUAGGAUAGGUGGGAGGCUUUGAAGUGUGGACGCCAGUCUGCAUGGAGCCGACCUUGAAAUACCACCCUUUAAUGUUUGAUGUUCUAACGUGGACCCGUGAUCCGGGUUGCGGACAGUGUCUGGUGGGUAGUUUGACUGGGGCGGUCUCCUCCUAAAGAGUAACGGAGGAGCACGAAGGUUGGCUAAUCCUGGUCGGACAUCAGGAGGUUAGUGCAAUGGCAUAAGCCAGCUUGACUGCGAGCGUGACGGCGCGAGCAGGUGCGAAAGCAGGUCAUAGUGAUCCGGUGGUUCUGAAUGGAAGGGCCAUCGCUCAACGGAUAAAAGGUACUCCGGGGAUAACAGGCUGAUACCGCCCAAGAGUUCAUAUCGACGGCGGUGUUUGGCACCUCGAUGUCGGCUCAUCACAUCCUGGGGCUGAAGUAGGUCCCAAGGGUAUGGCUGUUCGCCAUUUAAAGUGGUACGCGAGCUGGGUUUAGAACGUCGUGAGACAGUUCGGUCCCUAUCUGCCGUGGGCGCUGGAGAACUGAGGGGGGCUGCUCCUAGUACGAGAGGACCGGAGUGGACGCAUCACUGGUGUUCGGGUUGUCAUGCCAAUGGCACUGCCCGGUAGCUAAAUGCGGAAGAGAUAAGUGCUGAAAGCAUCUAAGCACGAAACUUGCCCCGAG
This 1709-nucleotide ribosomal RNA is filed under the name Salmonella enterica. RNAcentral's name for it is "partial 23S ribosomal RNA". It matches the Rfam family "Bacterial large subunit ribosomal RNA", at positions 1111 to 2803 of the family's 2925-position model. Lineage: Bacteria; Pseudomonadati; Pseudomonadota; Gammaproteobacteria; Enterobacterales; Enterobacteriaceae. The record is from RNAcentral.